RNAcentral lists this unclassified non-coding RNA (302 nucleotides) under uncultured Caryophanales bacterium. Its description in RNAcentral is "uncultured Bacillales bacterium contains 16S-23S intergenic spacer region". The record is from RNAcentral. Lineage: Bacteria; Bacillati; Bacillota; Bacilli; Caryophanales.
UCCGGUUUGUCACCGGCAGUCUGAAGUGAGUCCCAACUUAAUGCUGGCAACACUUCACGGGGGUUGCGCUCGUUGCGGGACUUAACCCAACAUCUCACGACACGAGCUGACGACAACCAUGCACCACCUGUCACCGCUGUCCCCGAAGGGAAAGCCCAGUCUCCUGGGCGGGCAGCGGGAUGUCAAGACCUGGUAAGGUUCUUCGCGUUGCUUCGAAUUAAACCACAUGCUCCACCGCUUGUGCGGGCCCCCGUCAAUUCCUUUGAGUUUCAGCCUUGCGGCCGUACUCCCCAGGCGGUCAA